GGUCCCAUAGCUCAGUUGGUUAGAGCGUCGUACUAAUAUAAUUUCUGGUUAUAUCUAGUAAAUGCGAAGGCCGGCGGUUCGAGCCCGCCUGGGACCA
This 97-nucleotide transfer RNA is filed under the name Daldinia sp. FL1419. Its description in RNAcentral is "tRNA-Ile". It matches the Rfam family "tRNA". From Rfam's summary of the family: Transfer RNA (tRNA) molecules are approximately 80 nucleotides in length. Lineage: Eukaryota; Fungi; Ascomycota; Sordariomycetes; Xylariales; Hypoxylaceae. The record is from RNAcentral.